AAGUCGUAACAAGGUUUCCGUAGGUGAACCUGCGGAAGGAUCAUUUUUGGAUUUUUAAAAUUAACUUGGGGUUGUUAUGACUCCCGAGUAGUUGACUGAACUCGUCCUAGGUAAAAUUAGGACUUGAACAUGGCAUUGUCUUGACUAAUUAUUUAAUUAAUGAAAACUUUCAACAACGGAUCUCUAGGCUCUU
This 193-nucleotide unclassified non-coding RNA is filed under the name Phylloporus sp. RNAcentral's name for it is "partial contains small subunit ribosomal RNA, internal transcribed spacer 1, and 5.8S ribosomal RNA". The stretch from base 1 to 46 matches the Rfam family "Eukaryotic small subunit ribosomal RNA", at positions 1786 to 1831 of the family's 1831-position model. Lineage: Eukaryota; Fungi; Basidiomycota; Agaricomycetes; Boletales; Boletaceae. The record is from RNAcentral.